GUUGCCUCUCAUGCCUCGUUCCCGCACUACCGUACUCCUGACGUCUACCUCCCAUGUACCGACCAACGCCUGUCUCCCGACCUACCCCAAUUUUGACACAUGAGGAAAAAAACAUCGGCACACCCCUACAGCCAAAGGACCUACGUAUAUUGACCUGGCAGGCAAUCGCGACGGAGCGUCGGAGGGGCGUGCAAAUCACGAUCGGCGAGCUCUCUGGAGUGGAAUUCUUCACACUUGAACCCUGAUGAACAGUUUAGAAUAGAGCAGAGGCUGGUGAGCUCCGACGCCACACAGCUGAAGCCACCCAAGAAAUAACAAUGUCAUGCUGAAUUACACAUGGCGCAUAUUGAGUCUUACACUGAAAAGUAGUAUUUUUAAACUUAAUGUUUUUUUACAUUUAUGCUGGAAAAAUUAUGACUUCAUUUCAUAAAAUGACCUUUUCUGUUA
Syngnathoides biaculeatus (alligator pipefish) is the source of this 447-nucleotide long non-coding RNA. RefSeq lists it as uncharacterized. NCBI's taxonomy places the organism in Eukaryota, Metazoa, Chordata, Actinopteri, Syngnathiformes, Syngnathidae. The record is from RefSeq and is a predicted model, not a curated record. The transcript has 3 exons.